Molecule: ribosomal RNA, 587 nt
Filed under: Agoniates anchovia
Lineage: Eukaryota; Metazoa; Chordata; Actinopteri; Characiformes; Characidae
Description: partial 16S large subunit ribosomal RNA
Rfam family: Bacterial large subunit ribosomal RNA
Source: RNAcentral
CAAAAACCUCGCCUCCUGCAAAAAUCAAAGUAUAAGAGGUACUACCUGCCCGGUGACAUCAAGUUUAACGGCCGCGGUAUUUUGACCGUGCUAAGGUAGCGCAAUCACUUGUCUUUUAAAUGAAGACCUGUAUGAAUGGUAUAACGAGGGCUUAACUGUCUCCCCUCUCAGGUCAGUGAAAUUGAUCUCUCCGUGCAGAAGCGGACAUAAGUAUACAAGACGAGAAGACCCUUUGGAGCUUAAGGCACAUGGCCAACUGUGUUCCAACACUCAAUAAGGCUAAACAAAACAGCAACUGGCCAGCGCCUUCGGUUGGGGCGACCACGGAGGAAAAAGAAGCCUCCAUAAGGACUGGGAUAAACCUAAAACCAAGAGGGACACCUCUAAGUCACAGAAUGUCUGACCAAAAGAUCCGGCCUAUGACCGACCAAUGAACCAAGUUACCCUAGGGAUAACAGCGCAAUCCCCUCCGAGAGUCCAUAUCGACAAGGGGGUUUACGACCUCGAUGUUGGAUCAGGACAUCCUAAUGGUGCAGCCGCUAUUAAGGGUUCGUUUGUUCAACGAUUAAAGUCCUACGUGAUCUGAG